This 605-nucleotide ribosomal RNA is filed under the name Salmonella enterica. RNAcentral describes it as "partial 23S ribosomal RNA". It matches the Rfam family "Bacterial large subunit ribosomal RNA", at positions 1 to 623 of the family's 2925-position model. The record is from RNAcentral. Lineage: Bacteria; Pseudomonadati; Pseudomonadota; Gammaproteobacteria; Enterobacterales; Enterobacteriaceae.
GGGUUGUGAGGUUAAGCGACUAAGCGUACACGGUGGAUGCCCUGGCAGUCAGAGGCGAUGAAGGGCGUGCUAAUCUGCGAUAAGCGCCGGUAAGGUGAUAUGAACCGUUAUAACCGGCGAUACCCGAAUGGGGAAACCCAGUGUGAUUCGUCACACUAUCAUUAACUGAAUCCAUAGGUUAAUGAGGCGAACCGGGGGAACUGAAACAUCUAAGUACCCCGAGGAAAAGAAAUCAACCGAGAUUCCCCCAGUAGCGGCGAGCGAACGGGGAGGAGCCCAGAGCCUGAAUCAGCAUGUGUGUUAGUGGAAGCGUCUGGAAAGGCGCGCGAUACAGGGUGACAGCCCCGUACACAAAAGCGCAUAUGCUGUGAGCUCGAUGAGUAGGGCGGGACACGUGGUAUCCUGUCUGAAUAUGGGGGGACCAUCCUCCAAGGCUAAAUACUCCUGACUGACCGAUAGUGAACCAGUACCGUGAGGGAAAGGCGAAAAGAACCCCGGCGAGGGGAGUGAAAAAGAACCUGAAACCGUGUACGUACAAGCAGUGGGAGCCCCACCACUAAGCCAGUGGUGAACUCCACAUACGCAUCCUUUGCUGAGGAUACGGU